Non-coding RNA from Colletotrichum liriopes, 74 nucleotides. Lineage: Eukaryota; Fungi; Ascomycota; Sordariomycetes; Glomerellales; Glomerellaceae. The record is from the annotation of a GenBank genome assembly.
GCGGACGUAGCUCAAUUGGGAGAUCGUCAGUCUGAAGAGCCUGAAGGUCGUGUGUUCAACCCACGCAGACCGCA